GGGUGCGGCGCGUACGGACGCGCAGCAGGUACCGGAGCAGUCGGGCCGCUGCUU
This 54-nucleotide non-coding RNA is filed under the name Anaeromyxobacter sp. Fw109-5. Its description in RNAcentral is "nhaA-I RNA". It matches the Rfam family "nhaA-I RNA". From Rfam's summary of the family: Acidobacteria, Alphaproteobacteria, Betaproteobacteria and Gammaproteobacteria, Verrucomicrobia, cand. division NC10. Downstream gene Lineage: Bacteria; Pseudomonadati; Myxococcota; Myxococcia; Myxococcales; Anaeromyxobacteraceae. The record is from Rfam by way of RNAcentral.